Molecule: long non-coding RNA, 1223 nt
Organism: Peromyscus californicus insignis
Lineage: Eukaryota; Metazoa; Chordata; Mammalia; Rodentia; Cricetidae
Exons: 3
Source: RefSeq, a predicted model, not a curated record
UUCAGCUUGUAACAAAAAAAAAUCUAGCCACAUGCUAUAGACUGAAUGUUGUUGUUCUCUCAGAUUUGCAUGUUGAAACCCUGACCUUACCUGAUGUGAUGUGUUAUGAGAUGAGACCUUCGGGAUGUAAUUAAGUCAUGAAGAUGGGAUCUUUAUGAAUGGGAUUCGUAUCUUUAUAAAAAUUAUCUUCACUCCUGGUGCCAUUGAGAAGAGACCUAAAGCAAAAACGGAAGCCACACACCUGAGAGCUGAUUUUGCUACAAACACUUGAGAAAGAACAUGUGUCUAGAACCUGUAAGGAAUUCUUCAUUUCCCAAAUAAGACCAUAUGCUCAAUAAAAGUGGGGAAAAGGUUUACAGAAUUUACAGAAGAAGACACUCAUCCAAUGAUAGGAAUUGAAGAAAAUCCUGAAUUUCAGAGACCUCUGAGAGAAGUGAACUCUGUGUUCCCCCUGCCUGAAACCAUGAGCUCUUCAAACUUGUGAGUAUGGACACAAAGAAAUGGGACCUGCAGAGAGUCUACUAAGAAGUGGAGUAGAACAGAGAUAGAGCAACCAAAACAGUAUGGUAUUGACACAAAAAUAGGCAUGUUGAUGAAUGGAAUUGGAUAGAAGACCCAGACAUAGAUCCCCAUAUCUAUGGGCACAUGAUUUUUGACAAAGAAACCAGAAAUGCACACUGGUAAAAGAUAAUAUUUUCAACAAAUGGUGCAGGUCUAACUGGAUGGCUGUCUGUAGAAGAACGCAAAUAAGUCUGUUCUUAUCACCCUGCACCAAACUGGAGUCCAAAUGAUUCAAAGACCUCAACGUAAAACUGGGUACACCGAACCUGUUGGAAUAAAAGUGGGGAAUAGGCUUAAACACAUUGGCACAGGAAAAGACUUCCUAAACGGAAGAUUGUCAGCACAGGCACUAAGACUUAAGAUUAAUAAACGGGACCCCAUGAAAUGGAGACACCUCUGCCCUGCAAAGGACACUCUCAUUUGGACAAAGCAGCAGCCUAGCGUGGGAAUUUUUUUUUUUUUUAACCAACUACACAUCUGAUAGAGUGCUAAUAUCCAAAAUAUAUAAAGAACAUCUUAGGGAUUUUACUGCUGUAAAGAGACACCAUGACCAUGGCAACUCUUUUUUUUUUUUUUUAAAUUUUCUUUUUUGGUUUUUCAAGACAGGGUUUCUCUGUGUAGCUUUGCGCCUUUCCUGGAUCUCACUCUGUAGACCAGGCUGG